UAGAAACGAUUUCGUUCUCAAAGUAUAAGUCAGAAAUUGGUCUGAUGUUUCUACCUGCCACCGGAAUGGCAGACUAUUUGGAGGCCCUAUGCUAAA
Molecule: non-coding RNA, 96 nt
Filed under: Bdellovibrio bacteriovorus
Lineage: Bacteria; Pseudomonadati; Bdellovibrionota; Bdellovibrionia; Bdellovibrionales; Pseudobdellovibrionaceae
Description: Guanine sequence
Rfam family: Purine riboswitch aptamer
About the family: Riboswitches are metabolite binding domains within certain messenger RNAs that serve as precision sensors for their corresponding targets. Allosteric rearrangement of mRNA structure is mediated by ligand binding, and this results in modulation of gene expression.
Source: RNAcentral